Molecule: ribosomal RNA, 396 nt
Filed under: uncultured bacterium
Lineage: Bacteria
Description: bacterial SSU rRNA
Rfam family: Bacterial small subunit ribosomal RNA
Source: RNAcentral
AUUGGACAAUGGGGGCAACCCUGAUCCAGCAAUGCCGCGUGAGUGAUGAAGGCCUUAGGGUUGUAAAGCUCUUUCGGUGGUGACGAUGAUGACGGUAUCCACAGAAGAAGCCCCGGCUAACUUCGUUCCAGCAGCCGCGGUAAGACGAAGGGGGCUAGCGUUGUUCGGAAUUACUGGGCGUAAAGCGCACGUAGGCGGCCUUUCAAGUCAGGUGUGAAAGCCCCGGGCUUAACCCGGGAAUUGCAUUUGAUACUGUUGGGCUAGAGGCCGGGAGAGGAUAGUGGAAUUCCCAGUGUAGAGGUGAAAUUCGUAGAUAUUGGGAAGAACACCAGUGGCGAAGGCGGCUAUCUGGACCGGUGCUGACGCUGAGGUGCGAAAGCGUGGGGAGCAAACAGG